This is a long non-coding RNA of Mytilus trossulus (common blue mussel), 831 nucleotides long. RefSeq lists it as uncharacterized. NCBI's taxonomy places the organism in Eukaryota, Metazoa, Mollusca, Bivalvia, Mytilida, Mytilidae. The record is from RefSeq and is a predicted model, not a curated record. The transcript is spliced from 4 exons.
UGGAGGUCUACGGAAUAGAAGUCAUUAGAAAUACAGCUAAUAUAUAUGAAUCAAAUUCAACUUCUCUUGGAACCAUACAUAGCGAUCACAAAAUAAAAGAAAAUAAUCUAAGUACCGGCUUUGAUUUGCAUGACCAAACAACAGAUUAUACUCAGUGGAUAUUUAAGGAACUGUUUCCCCCUAAACAAUUGAAUCCAUCGAGGACACCAUUCUAUCUUUUCAUACAGCCAUCGACCUCAUUGAUGGAAUGUUCAAUAAUAUGUACAGGUGACCCUAAAUGUAGAGCGGUUUUUAUUUACGAAAAAAAACACAUGUUUUGGAUUAUCCCCAUUAACGCCAAACUCAAAACUGAUUUCAACAGUACGGGUAUUCAUCAAACAACCACAAGACGAAUGUAAUGGUUGGGACUUUGUUUAUUAUAACGGGCUAUGCAUGCUGUUUAGUACUAUUGAUUUGGAUUGGUAUGAAGCAAAAACAUAUUGUGAAAACAAGAAUAGCCACUUACUGGUCCUAGAUUCUGAACAAAAGGUCAACGAAACCAAAGAGUUCUUAAAAACUUACUAUCACGAUUUACGCUCACUUUACGUUGGAGCAUCCGACGAGACAAAGGAAGGAGAAUGGAAAUGGGUCACCAAAACAACGAUAUCUGGUUAUUUUAAUUUCCAGCCAGGCCAACCUAACAACAUUGAUUCCAAUCAUCCUAAUAAAGUAGCAAAUUGUGGGGCUGUUAUGUCUAAAGGUGAAUUAGACUUAUACGAUGUGUACUGUUACGGGAAGAGACAAUUUAUUUGUGAAAUGUAAUUAAAGUCAACCUGACGUUUUCAAAUGAUA